UUUUUUUUUUUUGCGGGGUUAGCAGUGGUAUCUUUGACUAAAACCACUCGUGACAAUGACAUAAUAAUGUCCCGCUCCCCGACCAGCGUCCUCACCGCCGACCUCUGCAACGGCGAGGUCGCGUCGCUCCGUCGCCGCCGUUCCCUUCUGCCCCGCCGGCGCCGGGGGUGGACCCGGAUGCAUUCCCCCAAGGACAUCGUCGCCAAGAACACGCUCUGACGAGAUCGAGGUGAGUGGGAACUGGGAAGGCCCCCUCCCAUGGUGAACCCCAACUCCAUGGUGCUCCAGGCCCUCGCGGCGGCGAAUCGAGGAGGAGGCCGAGAAGAAUGAAGAGGAAGGCAGGGCCGCCGCGGCUUCACCACCAAUGCUUCUUCUUCUUCUUGGUCGUCGUCGUCGUCGUCUUGUAUGUAUACAGAUACAGCUAUACACAUAAUUUUAGGAUCAAAAGACGUACAGCUAUAUGUAUUUCUGGGGGCUAAUUUCAGUGCAGAGUGAAUUAAUGCGUUGUUGCUAAUUGGAUUGCUAGAAUAUGUGUAGCAGAGUGAAAGCUAGUGUGAAUUGAGACCAUUGAACAAAUGGUUUAGAGAUAAUAACUUAGCUGCUUUCUUUGAAUUGCCACAUGUUCAGUUCAAUCACCUAAUUUUAUCUGAAAAGAAAUGUUCGAUCACCCUUGUCUGGAUGAAUAGUUACUCUUGUCUUUACUUUCUAGUGAUAUUCUAUAUUGCUACGAAAGCACUGGUUGUCCUUCAUUAUGUUUGUAAGAUUGAAUUCGAUAACAUUUUUUGUCGUCUAUUGCUUCUUUAGACAAAGAGGGUAUGUAUGUCAGUCAGUCAAACAGGUUUUCCAUGGUUGUAAAUCCUCUCUUACAAAGUUAUAGCCACUAAUUCCUUCCCAGAAAUUGAAACUAUGAUCAUGGCAUAAGCAGUGUAGGGUGAUCUUAACAUAACCAGUAGCAUACUAUGCGCAUCAUGAAUGUCAGAAACAGGAACAUACCAGUAAUGCGAUAACAUGCUAGAGGCAUCAUGUAGAACAGGAACAAGAACAUAGCGCACACAGUAUAGCGCUAACAAUGGGAACAGGAGUAGCGCUAACAGCAGUAGAAGGAGAAGAUUAUACCCCGAGAAUGGCCCUCCGCUGGAUGGUGAGGCAGAAUUGCCUCCGUUGUUGUAGUCGUUCAUGGCACCUCCUCCUGGCGCACCAGCUCUGGAUCCAGCUCCUGUCGGCGGCGCAGCUCCUGUCGGCGGCGGCGCACCACCUCCGCCAAUAGCGGCGGCAGCAACUCCAGACAUGGCGAUGAGCAGUCGUGCAGGAGGCACUCCCCAAAAACCUGAUCACCCGCCUACCCGAUGCAGAUCUCAGGCGAAGGUGUGGUUUCGGAGGCACUACUUCUUCCAAUCUCUCGUGCGCGCAAGAGAUCAGAAGCGGGGAAGCGAGAGCAACUCAGGCGCGGAGAAGGAGAAACUAACACCGGGAAAGAAGCGAGGAACUCGGAUCGGACUCGCGGCCUCCUUAUCUAUCAGGAGAAAGAACGUGGACGCGCUGUUGCGGAGGGAAUCGUGGGAACGUGGGUUAGUGGCUGCAAAAGGAUAGCGACGUGACGUGACGCACGCACGCCGGCCAGCCUCGCCCACGGCCACGGCCACGGCCACGCCCGGCCCGGCGCGCGCGCGCGCGCGCGUGUGGCAUUCCGACCCCCACCUCAACUGGUCAACAGGGAGCCUCUAAUAACUCCCUAUUUAGGUUGAGAUAUUUCUCGCUUAAAUCCAGAGGUGGUAUUAUUAUCCUCAACAUUUAUUAUGGGCCUUUGAGAUUUAAUAUUAUAAGUUGGGCCUAGCCCAAUUAUUCUAACAAUCCCCACCAAAUUUCAAGGCUCAUAAGAAAUGUUCUCAAGGCUGUGCCUGUUUGAUAUACCAGGGUUUUGGUGGAGACUGUUAAGUUAAACUUCCACCUAGGAAAUGAGCUACAUCAGACCACAACUGAACAAUGGACUAUGCCUUGAAUUGUCAGUUUUGUGUGAUCAGGUUUCACUCAGACCCUUGACUGGUACUGGGCUGCCGUUCGCAUCCCCUCUGUUUGGAGCAUAUAAGUCAAACUCCAGGCCUUUCAUGAGUAUCUAGAGAUUGCCCAAACCUCAUAGACUGUGACUAGCAGUCGAACUCAUAUAGGUGUGUUCCUUCUGAGAUGUUCUGCAGGUCAACAUCUCUGCUUGGAAAAACCACUCGGAUCACAUUAAGACAUAAGCCAUCCUACCAUGCAGGAAAGAAGAGAAGCACAUCAUGAAAAUGAGCCCCUUUCAAGGGUCUUUUCUCUCAGUCACACAAUAAUUUGUUUCACCAUCCAAAUUCACGGGAUCUCCGAUCACAAUGGACAGGUUUCCACUAUUAUGCAACCUUAGGUGGGUAUCAAGCCCAUUUCCCUCGAUGCACUGUCUAUCACAUUACGUGGUAGCCCCUUGGUAAACUGAUCUGCCAGAUUUCUAGCCGUUUGGACAUAGUCCAAUGCUAUCACUCCGGAGUUUUUCUGCUUUCUGACAGAUUUCAGUCUUCUCUUGAUGUGUCUAGAUGACUUCAUGUUGUCCUUUGAACUGUUCACUUUAAUAAUCACUGUUUGAUUAUCGCAGUUCAUUAGGAUAGCUGGCACUGGUUUUUCAACCACCGGCAAAUCCAUCAGGAGUUCACGAAGCCACUCAGCCUCAACUGUCGCAGUAUCUAGUGCUGUAAGUUCUGCUUCCAUUGUUGACCUCGUUAAGAUGGUCUGCUUGCAAGACUUCCAGGAAACAGCGCCACCUCCAAGUGUGAACGCAUAUCCACUUGUGGCUUUUAUCUCAUCAGCAUCAGAUAUCCAGUUUGAGUCACUAUACCCUUCUAGUACUUUUGGAUACCCGGUAUAGUGAAUUCCAUAGCUCAUAGUGCCCUUUAGAUAGCGCAUUACUCUUUCCAGAGCCUGCCAAUGAUCAUCUCCCGGAUUUGAGACAAACCGGCUCAGCUUGCUUACAGCAAAUGAGAUGCCAGGCCUCGUUGCGCUAGCCAAGUACAUCAAUGAACCAAUGAUUUGAGAGUAUCUCAGUUGAUCCCUUCCUAUUCUUCGGUUUUUCCUUAAUAGCACGCUGGGAUCAUAAGGAGUAGGAGCUGGCUUACAGUCACUAUAUCCAAAGCGACUCAAAACCUUGUCCACAUAGUGGGAUUGCACAAGUGUAAUCCCAUCCUCAUCUCCUCUUUGUAGUUUGAUGUUAAGAAUAACAUCAGCCUCUCCCAAAUCCUUCAUUUCAAAACUCUUGGACAGAUAGUCUUUGACCUCCUCAAUCACAUUAAGGCUGGUCCCAAAGAUCAGUAUGUCAUCGACAUACAAGCAUAAGAUCACCCCUUCUCCCCCACCAUAGCGAUAGUAUACACAUUUGUCAGCUUCGUUCACAACAAAGCCUGCAGAUGUAAGCGUGGUGUCAAACUUCUCAUGCCAUUGCUUAGGUGCUUGCUUGAGGCCAUACAAGGAUUUCAAUAGUUUACACACCAUUCCCUCCUGACCUUCUAGUACAUACCCGUCUGGUUGAUCCAUAUAGAUCUCCUCCUCCAGCUCUCCGUUUAGGAAAGCUGUCUUAACGUCCAUCUGAUGGACGAGAAGACCAUGAGAGGCUGCCAGAGCAAGUAGUACUCGAAUCGUAGUCAAGCGAGCAACUGGUGAAUAUGUGUCGAAUAAAUCCUCGCCUUCCUUUUGGGUAUAACCCUUGGCCACAAGCCUUGCCUUAUACUUUUCGAUUGUACCAUCAGGCCUAAGCUUUUUCUUGAAAACCCAUUUGCAUCCUACGGGCUUACAUCCAUAUGGACGCUCAACGACUUCCCAAGUACCAUUAGACAUAAUCGAGUCCAUUUCACUGCGUACUGCUUCCUUCCAGUAGUCAGCGUCAGGAGAUGAAUAUGCCUCUUCUAUGGUUCUUGGGGUGUCAUCCACGAGGUAUACAAUGUAGUCAUCUCCAAAGGAUUUUGCAACCCUUUGUCUCUUACUCUUGCGAGUAUCUACAAUGUUGUCCUCCUCAGGAUUUUCCUCAGGCGUUUGAUCAUUGUGUUCUAUCGGUGCAAAGUGCUCAUGGGGCAUGACAGUUUCUUUACUAGAAGUGUUAGGUGUAUAUUUCAUAGGAAAUUCAUUCUCAAAGAAAGUAGCAUCUCUGGACUCAAAAAUUGUACCAGCAUGCAUGUCGGGUACUCCAGAGUUUACUAUUAAGAAUCUAUAACCCACACUGUGGAUAGCAUAACCAAGAAACACACAAUCAACAGUUUUUGGUCCAAGUUUCCGCUUUUUGACUAUAGGUACAUUUACCUUGGCCAAACAGCCCCAUGUUCGUAGGUAUGAGAGAUUUAAUUUCUUCCUUUCCCAUUCCUCGAAUGGUGUUACUUCCUUGUGCUUCAUUGGAAUUUUAUUCAGGACAUGACACGCAGUCAGAACUGCCUCACCCCACCAUUCCUUGGAAAGCCCCGCAGUGUCUAACAUGGCAUUCACCAUCUCAGUUAGAGUACGGUUCUUUCUUUCGGCCACCCCAUUUGAUUGGGGUGAAUAGGGAGGCGUCAUCUCAUGAAUAAUUCCAAACUCUUCGCAAAAGGAUGCAAACUCAUUGGAAAAAUACUCCCCACCUCUAUCAGACCUCAACCGUUUGAUUUUCCUUUCAAGUUGGUUUUCUACCUCAGCUUUAUAGAUUUUAAAGUAAUGCAAUGCCUCAUCCUUUGUUUUCAAUAGAUACACAUAGCAAAAUCUAGUGCAAUCAUCUAUCAGUGUCAUGAAAUAUUUCUUUCCCCCUUUAGUCAACACGCCGUUCAUUUCGCACAAAUCGGAAUGAACAAGUUCUAGAGGUGCCAAAUUCCUCGCCUCAGAUGCCUUGUGAGGCUUGCGAGGUUGUUUCGAUUGAACACAAGUAUGGCACUUGGAACCUUUGACCAAAGUGAAUUUUGGAAUUAAACUCAUGUUAGCUAAGCGCAUCAUACAACCGAAAUUCACAUGACAGAGUCGCGAAUGCCACACAUUAGACUCAUCAUUCUCGCUAAUAUGGUUCACAGCGUUAUGAUUAUUACACAUGUCAUUCAAAGAAAAGCGGAACAAGCCUCCGCUGUCAUAACCUUUUCCAACAAAAGUCCCAUAUUUAGAUACGACACAUUUAUUGGACUCAAACACAAGUCUAAAACCUUCUCUACACAAUAGAGAGCCGCUAACUAGAUUCUUCUUUAUUGAAGGGACAUGCUGCACGUUCUUCAGCUGCACGGUCUUUCCCGAAGUAAACUUCAGAUCGACCGUACCAACACCAUGAACAGCCGCAAGCGACCCGUUUCCCAUCAACAAGGAGGAACCUCUCCCGACCUGAUAAGAAGAAAACAGAGAAAUGUCAGCACAUACAUGAAUAUUAGCACCAGUAUCCACCCACCAAUCAGGUGAAUGAAAAACAGAGAGAACUGUAGGUAAUAUUUUACCGUACCCCGAUGUUCCUCCGCCCUCGCUAAUGAUCAUGUUGGCAGACUUCCUGUCUUUGCGCUCAGAACAGUCCUUGGCCCAAUGCCCAGACUUGCCACACACAAAGCAGUCUCCCUUUGCCUUUCUUCUUAAAAUUGGUUGCAGCCUUGGGUUUGACAUCAGGCUUGACUUUCUUGUUGUUGUGGGAUGCAUGAGGGUUCUUCUUCUGUACCAUAUUGGCACUAGAACCUCCCUCAACCUUUUUGCCCCGGACGUCCUUUGCCCUCGCCUUCUCCUCAACACCCAAAGAGCCAAUGAGAUCAGGAACACUGAACUCUUGUCUCUUGUGCUUUAGAGAAGUGGCAAAGUCCGACCAAGAAGGUGGUAGUUUGGCAAUAAUGCCACCCGCCACAAACUUGUCCGGCAACUCACAGUUGUUGUUCUCAAGUUUCUUAGCCAGCAUCUGAAUCUCAUGAGCUUGUUCUACUACAGAACGGUCAUCGACCAUCUUGUAGUCAUAGAACUGCUCCAUGACAUACAGCUCACUGCCGGCGUCAGAAACUCCGAACUUGGCCUCAAGUGCAUCCCACAUGUCCUUCCCAGAAGGCAUGUGCAUGUACACGUCCACUAUGUUGUCAGCGAGUACACUGAUCAAUGCUCCACGGAACAGGCAAUCCGAAGCCUCGAACUUAGCCUCUUCCUCAGGAGAAAGAGGUGGUUUACUUCGUUUACCCCGUGAAACAUAGAAGCACUGCAUCGCUGUCAACCACAAUAGUGCACGUGCUUUCCAUCUCUUAUAGUUUGAACCAUCAAAAGCAUGUGGUUUCAGUGCAGCAGCAAAGCCAACUACCGAAAAUGACCUAUCAGGUUUUUGGAUUGUUGGAAAUAUAGUCAUUAUUCGGCAUAUUUUAAUCCAAGAAAUUGAAACUAUGAUCAUGGCAUAAGCAGUGUAGGGUGAUCUUAACAUAACCAGUAGCAUACUAUGCGCAUCAUGAAUGUCAGAAAUAGGAACAUACCAGUAAUGCGAUAACAUGCUAGAGGCAUCAUGUAGAACAGGAACAAGAACAUAGCGCACACAGUAUAGCGCUAACAAUGGGAACAGGAGUAGCGCUAACAGCAGUAGAAGGAGAAGAUUAUACCCCGAGAAUGGCCCUCCGCUGGAUGGUGAGGCAGAAUUGCCUCCGUUGUUGUAGUCGUUCACGGCACCUCCUCCUGGCGCACCAGCUCCGGAUCCAGCUCCUGUCGGCGGCGCAGCUCCUGUCGGUGGCGGCGCAUCACCUCCGCCAAUAGCGGCGGCAGCAACUCCAGACAUGGCGAUGAGCAGUCGUGCAGGAGGCACUCCCCAAAAACCUGAUCACCCGCCUACCCGAUGCAGAUCUCAGGCGAAGGUGUGGUUUCGGAGGCACUGCUUCUUCCAAUCUCUCGUGCGCGCAAGAGAUCAGAAGCGGGGAAGCGAGAGCAACUCAGGCGCGGAGAAGGAGAAACUAACACCGGGAAAGAAGCGAGGAACUCGGAUUGGACUCGUGGCCUCCUUAUCUAUCAGGAGAAAGAACGUGGACGCGCUGUUGCGGAGGGAAUCGUGGGAACGUGGGUUAGUGGCUGCAAAAGGAUAGCGACGUGACGUGACGUGACGCACGCACGCACGCACGCCGGCCGGCCUCGCCCUCGCCCCGGCCCGGCGCGCGCGCGCGCGCGUGUGGCAUUCCGACCCCCACCUUAACUGGUCAACAGGGAGCCUCUAAUAACUCCCUAUUUAGGUUGAGAUAUUUCUCGCUUAAAUCCAGAGGUGGUAUUAUUAUCCUCAACAUUUAUUAUGGGCCUUUGAGAUUUAAUAUUAUAAGUUGGGCCUAGCCCAAUUAUUCUAACAUGUCAGUCAGUCAAACAGGUUUUCCAUGGUUGUAAAUCCUCUCUUACAAAGUUAUAGCCACUAAUUCCUAAAGCUUAACAUGCAAAGAUGCCACAUCAUCACCCACUAACAAUUAUUACAUUUAAGCAUAAUGCAGGCA
RNAcentral lists this long non-coding RNA (7436 nucleotides) under Oryza sativa (Asian cultivated rice). RNAcentral's name for it is "long non-coding RNA (OSAT_LNC001789)". The record is from RNAcentral. Lineage: Eukaryota; Viridiplantae; Streptophyta; Magnoliopsida; Poales; Poaceae.